UCAGCUAAGUAGGAUGAUGAAUUUUGAUAAUUAUCGAUUUCUAUUCAAUAUGUACACCAAAAAGACACUAUUAUUUACACGGACACAACAUUAUUUAUAUUGAAUCAAAAAUAUCGCUUAUUGGUUUUAAAUAUUGAUUUAUUUUGAAUUUACUUUAAAUAUUGUUAUUCCAACAAGCUUUGGCAUGUUAUGUUCAACAAAAGAAAAUUGUUUCAAAAUCUUGUUGAAAUAACAGUCCAGGAAUAAAAUGUUUGAUGAAUAUGGCCGUUCAGAGACAGCCAGGGAUUAUGUCCAAGGGCUUGGCGAUCCCUCUCCAGGCCAACUGCGAGUUGUGAUGCCUGCCUAGGAUGUGGUGGGGUUCGACAGUGGGCUCUGUUGAACUUCUAUAAACGUAUCCGUAUCUGUAUCCGUAAGCAGACUCCGCCAAAGCGACCGUGUGCCGCUCAAGCUCAAGACCUGGUGUUAGAUGGGACACUAAACAGACCUGACACGACGGCCCUCCGACGAGAUUGGAGGUUUGCGUAGGCCCAAUAAGCCGCCUUUAAAAACAACCAUUACGAACGACACAGAAGAUAAUACGACUCGAUACAAUCGACAACGACCUAGGCGACAAAUAAAGGAUCACAAUUGGAGGCUUGGACAAUGGAACUGCAAAUCGCUAGGUUUCGCAGAUUGCGACAGGAUAAUGUAUGAUGAAUUACAUCCCCGCAACUUGCACGUCGUGGCGCAGCAGGAAAUCUGCUGGACAGGACAGAAAAUGUGAAAAAGCGGGCAUCGAGCGGCUACCUUCUACCAAAGCUGUGGCACCACCAACGAGCUGGGAACGGACUUAAUAAUGCUGGAUCAGAUGCGCCAACUCGUGAUUGGGUGGCAGCCAAUUAACGCAAUGAUGUGCAAGCUGAGGAUAGAGGCCGUUUCUUCAACUAUAGGAUCAUCAACGUGCACUGCCCACGGUUGUAUGUCAAUGCCCAGAAUACCAAUCCCCAGAAUCAGUUCCCCAGAAUGGUAUUUCCCAGAACGACCAAUUCUCCAGAAUGAUAUUCCCCAGAAUGCACCAUUUCCCCGAAAAGAAAUCCCCAGAAUGACCCAUUCCCCAGAAAAAAAAACCCGAAUGACCCAUUCCCCAGAAACCAAAAACCCAGAAUGACCCGUUCCCCAGAAAAAGGUAUCAGUCUAAGAAACUAUGUUACUAGAUACUAAAAAAACUAAAAAUACUAGAUACUAUAUUUCUAUGCAAAAAUACUUGUAUUGAAGUACGCAUUUGACCGGAAUAAGGCAAAACGACAUAUGCUGCCUUAUUUUAGAGCACGCAUUUGACCGGAAUGGAGCCCUUUUGAUAUGUUUGUUAGGGCUCACAUAUAAUACGAAGGAGCAUAUAAUCCAUUAUACUCGUUGUUCAUAUUGGGGGAAGCCCAUAUGGCAUAAUACCAUUUGGCAUAAUGCCGUUUGGCAUAAUGACCAUUUGACAUAAUCGUUGAAAAGAGUAUGAAAUGCAAUGGGUCGUAAGAAUAUAUGAUUUCCAUUCUCAUGGUCUGUUCUCUGUGGAGAAUUAAACUUAAAAGUGACAGUUCGAAAAUUAAAAAAUCACCCCGUUAUAAGAUUGGCUGGUGCUACCCAGCAAUUCCAAUAGGACAUCGAUGGAAAAUGAUUCGAUAUCUGUCAAAAGUAAUCUUGCUCUGCGAGCAGGGUUAUUUGAUAAUUAUUGAAAUGUCACUUUUAAGUUUAAUUUCAGUUUAAUUAUCCAAUUGAGACAGACCCUUAGAAGUAUGUAUUUACCUGGAAUAAGACAAAAGAGUAGAUGACUCCUUCUUUAAAAGUAUGCGUUUGCCCGGAAAAAGGCAAACGAGUAGAUAACUACUUCUUCAAAAGUAUGCAUUUGCCCGGAAAAGGUAAAAGAGUAAAUCACUCAUUUUUUUAAAGUACGCAUUUGCCCGGGAUAAUGCAAAAGAGUAGAUGACUCCUUCUUAAAAAGUACACAUUUGCCCGGGAUAAUGCAAAAGAGUAGAUGACUUCUUCUUUAAAAGUAUGCGUUUGCCCGGAAAAAGGCAAACGAGUAGAUAACUACUUCUUCAGAAGUAUGCAUUUGCCAGGAAAAAAAGGCAGAAGAGUAAAUGACUCCUUUAAAAGUACGCAUUUGCCCGGGAUGAAGCAAACGAGUAGAUGACUCCUUCUUUAAAAGUAUGCAUUUGUCCGGAAUAAGGCAAAAGAGUAGAUGACUCCUUCUUUAAAAGUACCCAUUUGCCCGGGAUGAAGCAAUUACGAAGUAUUUAGUCUAAGCUAGGAAAUGGUGCAUUCUGGGGAUUAGGACAUUCUGGGGAAUGUCUUUCGGGGGAUGGAGGCAUUCUGGGAAAUGUCUUUCGGGGGAUAGGGGCAUUCUGGGGAUUGGUUUUCUGGGGAGUAGUGCAUUCAGGGGAAUUAAUUUCUAAGGAAUCACUUUCUGGGCAAUAAUGGGUUUCUGGGGUAUGACAUACAAUCCUGCCCGCACGAAGGGAGACCCGACGAGAAGCGUUCUAUUCACAGACAUACGAUGAAUACCCACUGCGGGACGUCAAAAUCGUCAUCAAAGACAUGAACACUCAGGUAGGAAGGGUUGUGCCGUGCCAAAACCGCGCCGACUAAAAUUAAAUCCGCGCCAUUUUCCGCGCGACAUGAAAUCCACAUAAACCCUUCCCCCUCCCCCACCAGAGACAAAAUUUUUAGAAGAAAUUUUUUUUCAAGACCUCUCGAUUUUUUUUUCAGAAGCAGUUGGAACAGCAAAAACUAUUUCAAUAAGCACCGCUUUUUAUAACAGAUGAUAGUUUUAGCAUGUUUUGCUCUGUUAUUGUCAGUGAAUUUUUUGUUGCUCGAGCUUUAUAAAAUUCGGCACAAGAUGCAUUGAUAUACAAAGAAUGUUCAGGCCAUAUUUGAUCAUAACUGAUGAUAGAUAAACUUGGCAAAUAGGUAAUAAAAAAAAAUACUAAAACGCAAUUUCUACUGAAGUAAUAUUAUGCAACUUUGUUGUAAUUAUUGAUCACAAGAACAACUUGUGUAGAGAUUAAGGAAUUAGACAAUGCAACUUCGUUGUUUAAAUAAAACUCCUGUUAAACAAUUAUUUGAAUUUGUAUCAAGAAACAAACAAUACAACAUCUAGGCCAGCGGUUCCCAACGUUUUUCUUGGGAGGUACCCCUUCAAACUUUUGCAUUAAUUGAGGUACCCCCUCUUGAAAGUAGGCUUUCAAUACUCUUGAAAAAACAUAAUUCCAAGCCCUUUGAAGGGAAGCUCCUUUCAGCUUUUGAAUCCUUUUAAAAUAGGCUUCUGAGCCUUUUGUAGAUAGGCUUCCGAGCCUCUUGAAGGCGGUUUUCGAGCCACUUAAAAGGAGGCUUCCUUUGCAUCUUGAAAGGACGCUUCCAAGCCUCUUGAAAGAAGAAUUCCGAACUUCUUGACGCGAGGCUUCCGAGCCUCUUGAAAGGAGGCUUCCGAGGCUCUUAAAAGGACGCUUACGAGCUUCUUGAAAGGAAGCAACCUAACCACUUGAAAACAGGCUUCCGAACCUCUUGAAAAGAGGCUUCCGAGCCUCUCUAAAGGUUCCUUCCGAGCCUCUUGGAAAAAGGCUUUUGAGCGUCUUGAAAGGAAGCUUCCGAGCCUCUUGAAAGGAUCUUGAAAGGAGGCUUUUGAGGCUCUAGAAAAGGAGGCUUUUGAGCCUCUAGAAAAGAAGGCUUUUGAGCUUCUUAAACGAAGGCUUCCGAGCCUCUUGAAAGGAGGCUUCCAAGGCUCUUGUAAGGAUGCUUUUGAGUCUCUUGAAAACGACUUUCAAGGAGGUUUCCGAGCCUCAUGGAAGGAGCGUGUAACAUGGUCACUAUUUUGUAAAUAUUAUUUUUAGAUUUAUUGAGCCGAGCCUUUUGAAAGGAGCCUUCCGAGCUCUUGGAAGGAGACUUUUGAGCUUCUUGAAAGGAGGCUUUUGAACCUAGAAGGGGUUUUUGAGUCUCUUGAAAGGAGUUUUCUGAGCCUCAUGAAAAUAGGCUUCCAAGCCUCUUGAAAGGAUCUUGAAAGGAAGCUUCCGAGCCUCUUCAAAGGAUCUUGAAAGGAGACUUUUGAGCCUCUAGAAAAGAAGGCUUUUAAGCUUCUUGAAAGGAGGCUUCUGAGCCUCUUAAAAUAAGGCUUCCGAGCCUCUUGAAGGAGGCUUCCGAGCCUCUUGAAAGGAGCCUCCGAGCCUCUUGAAAGGAGGCUUCCAAGCCUCUUGAAAAGAGCCUUCCGAGCCUCUUGGAAAAAGGCUUUUCAGCCUCUUGAAAGGAGGCUUUUGAACCUGGAAGGUGGUUUUUUUUAGCCUCUAGAAAGGAUGUUUCUAAGCCUCUUGAAAAUAGGCUUCCGAGCCUCUUGGAAGGAGGCUUCCGACCCUCUUGAAAGGAGGCUUAUGAGACUGUAGGAAAGAAGGCUUUUAAGCUUCUUGAAGGGGCCUUCCGAGCCUCGUGAAGGCAGGCUUUCGAGCCUCUUGAAAGGAACUUAUAAGCCUUUUGAAAGGAGGCUUCCGAGCAUCUUGAAAAGAGCCUUCCGAGCCUCUUGGAAAAAGGCUUUUCAGCCUCAUGAAAAUAGGCUUCCAAGUCUCUUGAAAGGAUCUUGAAAGGAGGCUUCCGAGCCUCUUGAAAGGAGGCUUUUGAGCCUCUAGAAAAGAAGGCUUUUAAGCUUCUUGAAAGGAGGCUUCUGAGCCUCUUGAAAUAAGGCUUCCGAGCCUCUUGAAAGGAGGCUUCCGAGCCUCUUGAAAGGAGGCUUCCGAGCCUCUUGAAAGGAGGCUUCCGAGCCUCUUGAAAGGAAGCUUCCGAGCCUCUUGAAAGGAGGCUUCCGAGCCUCUUAAAAGGAGGCUUCCGAGUCUCUUGAAAGGAGGCUUCCGAGUCUCUUGAAAGGAGGCUUCCGAGUCUCUAAGAAGGAGAAUUGCAAGCCUUUUGAAAGGCUUUCGAGCCUCUUGAAAGGGACUUUUGAGCCUCUUGAAAGGAGGCUUCCGAGCCUCUUGAAAAAGAGCCUUCCGAGCCUCUUGGAAAAAGGCUUUUCAGCUUCUUGAAAAGAGACUUCCAAGUCCCUUGAAAGGAGGCUUCCGAGCCUCUAAGAAGGAGAAUUACGAGCCUCUUUAAAUGAGGCAACCUAAUCACUUGAAAGGAGGCUUCCGAGCCUCAUGAAAGGAGGCCUUCGAGCUGCUUGGAAGAAGGCUUCCGAGAAGCGUGGAAGGAUGCUUCUAAACCUCUUGCAACGAAGCAAACGAGCUUUAGUAAAAAAAACAUCAUUUUGUUCAUUCGGCGUUUUGUUCGUUUGAUCUUUUGUUCCGCAGCCCUUCAUACAUUGUGCUGGUUGUAGAAGGAAGGAUUCAAUUGGGAUUUAUUGAUCGCAUUGCAUAUUAUGUACAAUAUAAAUUUUUAAAAUAAAAAAUACACAUAUUAAUGAGUUUUGAUUGGUCCGCCAUUAGGCAUUUUUAUCCUAGGUACCCCCUAGGGCCAGCAAAGGUUGAGAACCGCUGAUCUAGGCGGUGGUUGAUUCCUAGAAGUUAUGCCUACCUCCGUUCUGCUCAUAAUCUCACAGAGAACAGACGUUGAAGCUCCACUCGCCAUGUUGUGAUAACUUUUUACUGUUCAUUUUGAAAUUACUUUGGAAUGUCGCCGUUAUACCAGGAACAAAUAACCGGGACAUCGGAGUCCCGAAGAAACGAUUAAAAAUUCAUGCAACCCAGAUGAGCUGACGAGACCAGCACCGCCAGAGGCGCUAGUGUAUUUUACUCAUAUUAUGGUAAAUUUAUUUGAAAGUGUUUGCUGUGAGUUUUGACAGUUUUGGCUGAUUGACGUCUUUGACAAAAUCGAAUGUACGCGCGCCAAAAAAGUGUUUUUGGUUUUUUCGCUUCUACAGUUUCCUUUUCGUUUUCGGGAUUAUUGAAAUUAAAACUGUUAUCUGGUUCUACAAUUAAUUUAUAUCCCGUCUAAAGCAUCCGUAAAUUCCUCACCAUGUUGAUUUGAUUGAAUCACAAGUUAUUGACACCGAUAGAGAACUAUUUAUAUACCGUCAAGGGGCGGAAAGGGAAAUUGGAGCAGCACAGGAUCGGCAGCCGAGGAAAAACGGUGACCGCGAAAUAGCCUAUCACAAAAUGUUGAGAAUGAACCUUGUGCCCCCUAGUUGGCAAAAACCUAAGGAACCGGAGCGGGAGCGAAACAAGGCACUUUCCGCUGAAAACUUCUACGUGACCUUCCUGGAACGAUCGGCUAAUCAACCGUGGAAAAAUAAUUCUCUACUGGUCCAUGGAUGUGCUGCGUCAUCUUCUUCUCGUCUCGGUCUUGAUCGAAAACCUUGGAUUUCCUCCUGAAUCAGCAGUAAACCUGCGCCAAACUGCGGAAAUUGUUUCCGAGUACAUAGCAGCCGACUGCUGAACUGCACCUUCGUCAUGGAAUGUUUUGGGCACUUUUAAGUUUUCCGUUUGCUGUUCCCCAGGAGAUCCAUACGUCGAGCACCUAUGCCAAUCUUUACUGCGGCAAAUGCCUCCGGGUACAUAGCAGCCGACUGCUAAGCUAUGCCUUCAUCGCGGAUUCUUGGAAAAAACGUUCUAUUCCUGCUAUUUUGGGAAGUAUCAAGUUUUCCGCUUGCUGUUUCCGGUAGAUCCAUACAACGUGCACCGACAAGCACUACCACCACUCGGAUAACUUCGCCAUUAUUUAUAAAAAUCUUUAAUUUAAGUAUUGAAAUGGAAUAAAAAUAAACAUCGAUGGAAAAAAUAAACUGUAAACAACUCUAUGAGGGCUGGCUGGGAACUGCCCAAAUGGUUCUCUACCCUACUUUGGACUCCGCAAGACACUCCGAUCGAAUAGAGUUCGCCGCCGUACCAAACUGACACUCUACAAAACGCUCAUUAGACCGAUAGUCCUCUACUGACACGAGACCUGGACGAUGCUCGUGGAGGACCAAUGCGCAGUUGGAGUUUUCGAAAGAAAAGUGCUGCGUACCAUCUAUGGUGGGGUGCAGAGGGCGGACGGUACGUGGAGGAGGCGAAUGAACCACGAGUUGCAUCAGCUGCUGGGAGAACCAUCCAUCGUUCACACCGCGAAAAUCGGACGACUGCGGUGGGCCGGGCACGUAGCCAGAAUGUCGGACAGUAACCCGGUGAAAAUGGU
This is a long non-coding RNA of Armigeres subalbatus, 7119 nucleotides long. RefSeq lists it as uncharacterized. The record is from RefSeq and is a predicted model, not a curated record. Lineage: Eukaryota; Metazoa; Arthropoda; Insecta; Diptera; Culicidae. The transcript is spliced from 5 exons.